UACGUAGUUCGCAAGCGUUGUCCGGAAUUAUUGGGCGUAAAGAGCGUGUAGGCGGCCAGGUAGGUCUGCUGUGAAAACUCGAGGCUCAACCUCGAGACGUCGGCGGAAACCAUCUGGCUAGAGUCCGGAAGAGGAGAGUGGAAUUCCUGGUGUAGCGGUGAAAUGCGCAGAUAUCAGGAAGAACACCCGCGGCGAAGGCGGCUCUCUGGGACGGUACUGACGCUGAGACGCGAAAGCGUGGGGAGCGAACAGG
RNAcentral lists this ribosomal RNA (253 nucleotides) under uncultured bacterium. RNAcentral describes it as "partial 16S ribosomal RNA". It matches the Rfam family "Bacterial small subunit ribosomal RNA", at positions 524 to 776 of the family's 1533-position model. The record is from RNAcentral.